Molecule: non-coding RNA, 548 nt
Organism: Pelobates cultripes (western spadefoot toad)
Lineage: Eukaryota; Metazoa; Chordata; Amphibia; Anura; Pelobatidae
Source: the annotation of a GenBank genome assembly
CAGUCAGCCAGCCCUGCUGUCAGCCCUUUUCUAUCACUCGUGCUAGAGGAGUGAUGAAGAUCGGAACUCCGUUAUUGUCAUAGAUAGAAAGCUCUGUUAGGUAAGGACAUAGAAAUCUCUGUUAGGUAAGGACAUAGAAAUCUCUGUUAGGUAAGGACAUAGAAAUCUCUGUUAGGUAGGGACAUAGAAAGCUCUGUCAGGUAGAGAAACAGAAAGCUCUGUUAGGGACAUUGAAAGACUCUGCUAGGGACAUUAAAAGACUCGGUUAGGGGCAUUUAAUGACUCUGUGAGGGGCCAAAAAAACUGUUAACUGUAUUUUUCAAAGUGUUCAAGUCUUUUUCCUCCAAGUCUAACUCAAAAAUCCUGCUUUAGUUCAGUUCUUUCUAAGACCGUUAUCAAAAUCUGCAUCCUUUUCAGUCAGAUUGUGAGAUCUGUAUUUUUCAAAGUGUUUAUUUUUUUUAUAACCAAUAAACAACCAUGGAUUUGGAAAGCUGGUUAAAGCAGGGAACUCUUCAGAGAAAAAUUAUUACUACUUCUACCUGUUCGGC